AACGUAGGACGCGAGCGUUAUCCGGAGUUACUGGGCGUAAAGAGCGCGCAGGCGGUCGAUCAAGUCGAGUGUGAAAGCCCCCGGCUCAACUGGGGAGGGUCAUUCGAUACUGAUCGACUCGAAGGCAGGAGAGGGUAGUGGAAUUCCCGGUGUAGUGGUGAAAUGCGUAGAUAUCGGGAGGAACACCAGUGGCGAAGGCGACUACCUGGCCUGUUCUUGACGCUGAGGCGCGAAAGCUAGGGGAGCAAACGGG
RNAcentral lists this ribosomal RNA (253 nucleotides) under uncultured bacterium. RNAcentral's name for it is "partial 16S ribosomal RNA". It matches the Rfam family "Bacterial small subunit ribosomal RNA", at positions 524 to 776 of the family's 1533-position model. The record is from RNAcentral.